This 629-nucleotide long non-coding RNA is filed under the name Bos indicus x Bos taurus (hybrid cattle). RNAcentral describes it as "lncRNA (ENSBIXG00000009817.1)". Lineage: Eukaryota; Metazoa; Chordata; Mammalia; Artiodactyla; Bovidae. The record is from RNAcentral.
AUGGGGGAAAAUGAAAAAAAAAAAUCAAAUAUAUAUAUUUUUUAUGUUGGAGGCAUUUCUGCUGCUCCUUGGCAGGAAGGAAAGAAGGAGAAUGUUAACGGGUAUUCUUUCUUCCAAAGUGCACCGCGUAUAGGAAGGACGCGAGCAUCAAUAUUUCAUCCUUGCUUCGCCUGCCAGCAUCCCGCUCCCUCCUCCCUGCUUCUCACCGGCUCUAGGACCCGGAGAGCUGGGCCACACUGGCCUGACCCAGGGCGUCAUCACAGAUGUCCACGCUGCCUUCAGCUUGCCCGCCGUGCCAUCGUGGACUCCAGAGUCUGCGCAAGAAGCCGCCCUUCUGAGUCCGAGAGUCAAUCUGAGGAGUGUUGAAACCCUGCCCCUUCCUGUAUCCCUGUGGUAGGACCUAUCCUUAGACAAAAUCAUCAUGUAGGUAAGUUUGUCUCUCAGUUUCCUGCCCAUCUCCCCCCAUUCACACCUCUCUUCUCUCUCUCCUCAAUGCCCAUCUCCACCCUUGUUCUCUCCAGGCUUCGGGACAACUCUCAGGCACUCAUUCAGGACCUGUGGCUGCUCGACCCCUUCCUUCCAAAGAAUCAACUAACAUAAUAAAUGCAUACUGCACGCCGUGCCGAACA